UACGUAGGGUGCAAGCGUUAAUCGGAAUUACUGGGCGUAAAGCGCACGUAGGCGGCUUGGUAUGUCGGGUGUGAAAUCCCCGUGCUCAACCUGGGAACUGCAUCCGAAACGGCCUUGCUAGAGUAUGGGAGAGGGAAGUGGAAUUUCAGGUGUAGCAGUGAAAUGCGUAGAUAUCGGAAGGAACACCAGUGGCGAAGGCGACUUCCUGGACCAAUACUGACGCUCAGGUGAGAAAGCGUGGGGAGCAAACAGG
Molecule: ribosomal RNA, 253 nt
Filed under: uncultured bacterium
Lineage: Bacteria
Description: partial 16S ribosomal RNA
Rfam family: Bacterial small subunit ribosomal RNA
Source: RNAcentral